UGCGUAGGCGGAAUGAUAAGUUAGUGGUGAAAGCCCCCGGCUCAACCGGAGUACUGCCAUUAAUACUGUCAUUCUUGAGUAUAGUUGAAGUGGGCGGAAUGUAUCAUGUAGCGGUGAAAUGCUUAGAUAUGAUACAGAACACCGAUAGCGUAGGCAGCUUGCUAAACUAUAACUGACGCUCAGGCACGAAAGCGUGGGGAGCAAACAGGAUUAGAUACCCUGGUAGUCC
Molecule: ribosomal RNA, 229 nt
Filed under: uncultured bacterium
Lineage: Bacteria
Description: partial 16S ribosomal RNA
Rfam family: Bacterial small subunit ribosomal RNA
Source: RNAcentral